Molecule: ribosomal RNA, 530 nt
Filed under: uncultured bacterium
Lineage: Bacteria
Description: bacterial SSU rRNA
Rfam family: Bacterial small subunit ribosomal RNA
Source: RNAcentral
CUCUUGACAUCCAGAGAACUUUCCAGAGAUGGAUUGGUGCCUUCGGGAACUCUGAGACAGGUGCUGCAUGGCUGUCGUCAGCUCGUGUUGUGAAAUGUUGGGUUAAGUCCGCAACGAGCGCAACCCCUAUCCUUUGUUGCCAGCGAUUCGGUCGGGAACUCAAAGGAGACUGCCGGUGAUAAACCGGAGGAAGGUGGGGAUGACGUCAAGUCAUCAUGGCCCUUACGAGUAGGGCUACACACGUGCUACAAUGGCGUAUACAAAGAGAAGCGACCUCGCGAGAGCAAGCGGACCUCAUAAAGUACGUCGUAGUCCGGAUUGGAGUCUGCAACUCGACUCCAUGAAGUCGGAAUCGCUAGUAAUCGUAGAUCAGAAUGCUACGGUGAAUACGUUCCCGGGCCUUGUACACACCGCCCGUCACACCAUGGGAGUGGGUUGCAAAAGAAGUAGAUAGCUUAACCUUCGGGAGGGCGUUUACCACUUUGUGAUUCAUGACUGGGGUGAAGUCGUAACAAGGUAAGCGUAGCGAG